GAGUUUGAUCCUGGCUCAGGAUGAACGCUGGCGGCGUGCCUAAUACAUGCAAGUCGAGCGAACGGACGAGAAGCUUGCUUCUCUGAUGUUAGCGGCGGACGGGUGAGUAACACGUGGAUAACCUACCUAUAAGACUGGGAUAACUUCGGGAAACCGGAGCUAAUACCGGAUAAUAUUUUGAACCGCAUGGUUCAAAAGUGAAAGACGGUCUUGCUGUCACUUAUAGAUGGAUCCGCGCUGCAUUAGCUAGUUGGUAAGGUAACGGCUUACCAAGGCAACGAUGCAUAGCCGACCUGAGAGGGUGAUCGGCCACACUGGAACUGAGACACGGUCCAGACUCCUACGGGAGGCAGCAGUAGGGAAUCUUCCGCAAUGGGCGAAAGCCUGACGGAGCAACGCCGCGUGAGUGAUGAAGGUCUUCGGAUCGUAAAACUCUGUUAUUAGGGAAGAACAUAUGUGUAAGUAACUGUGCACAUCUUGACGGUACCUAAUCAGAAGCCACGGCUAACUACGUCG
This 516-nucleotide ribosomal RNA is filed under the name uncultured microorganism. RNAcentral describes it as "bacterial SSU rRNA". It matches the Rfam family "Bacterial small subunit ribosomal RNA", at positions 9 to 508 of the family's 1533-position model. The record is from RNAcentral.